Molecule: transfer RNA, 73 nt
Filed under: Turnera subulata
Lineage: Eukaryota; Viridiplantae; Streptophyta; Magnoliopsida; Malpighiales; Passifloraceae
Rfam family: tRNA
About the family: Transfer RNA (tRNA) molecules are approximately 80 nucleotides in length. Their secondary structure includes four short double-helical elements and three loops (D, anti-codon, and T loops). Further hydrogen bonds mediate the characteristic L-shaped molecular structure. tRNAs have two regions of fundamental functional importance: the anti-codon, which is responsible for specific mRNA codon recognition, and the 3' end, to which the tRNAs corresponding amino acid is attached (by aminoacyl-tRNA synthetases). tRNAs cope with the degeneracy of the genetic code in two manners: having more than one tRNA (with a specific anti-codon) for a particular amino acid; and 'wobble' base-pairing, i.e. permitting non-standard base-pairing at the 3rd anti-codon position.
Source: Rfam by way of RNAcentral
GCCCGUCUAGCUCAGUCGGUAGAGCGCAAGGCUCUUAACUUUGUGGUCGUGGGUUUGAGCCCCACGGUGGGCG